This is a non-coding RNA of Drosophila melanogaster (fruit fly), 1427 nucleotides long. The record is from Ensembl. NCBI's taxonomy places the organism in Eukaryota, Metazoa, Arthropoda, Insecta, Diptera, Drosophilidae.
GUCACAUUUUGCCCACUGAUACCUGACACUUCUCAGGGGUUACGCUAGCUUCAGUCUCACCGAAUCAGGCACUUAACUUCAAAUCCAAAGGAUAGUGCAUUCGCCUGUUUGUAUGGGUUGCAUUUGCAUUUCCAUUUGUUCAAGUUCACGGUCAGUAGAGCAAAAUACACAGAACUAGAAUAACAUGUUCGCCUGACGGCAGCAAAAGCUAAUGCCCAAAGUAAACAUCGCCGGAGGAAUUCCAGCUGCACAUCGAAAAUAAGACGCAAUCCCCAGGUUGUCUAUUUGGUUUUUAGCGUGACUCAGGCGGAUUUAGCAUCCGUAUCUGGUGAAUGCAUCUCCAUCUGCUGUGCACCCACGAACCGCCAUCAGCGCUUUUGGCCAGACCCGAUCUUGGCCCAAAGUGGCACAAGCAUCUUCCAGACUUUCUAGCGGUGCGUCCCGUGGAAAAUGCAAGUUUGCUCAGAUUUCUGAUAAAUGUUUGUGUUUGCCGUCCAAAUUUCCAGCUGGCGCUGGCGAAAGGGGAAAUAGUUGGGCUAAAUGGGUUAGCUCUUUAUCUAAACGGAUUGCGCGGCUUAAAUGGCCAAAGUAGAGCAAAUAUUUAAGGUCAUAUCUCGGUAUAGGGCUGUUUGCUUAGUCUGAUUAAUUAGCAAAUUAGCAAGUGCCAACUGAUAUAGCUCACAGAACGAGAUCCUCCUGUUGUUGUUUUCCGACUCGAAUGUCUGUUCGUUAACCGCAAAUCCGGAGACAAUCCAUCUGAUAUUGAUUUCCCGCCGAGCCACGCAUUCAAUUACAAUUUCAACACUUGCUCUGCGUUGCAAUUCGAACUGGACUCGGUUUAUCUGUAAGUUUAUCUACCACAAAUUCUCACCUGUCACACACAAUUCAGUUGGUAAUCGCCGAAACUGAGAUUCAAACGUUAAAGAUAAACUCGCGCACUAUUAGCCAGCCAGACGAAAAGUCAGCUGAAAUUAGCGUCAAAUCGGGCAUAAACUGUAAAGACUGAUCUGAUCCGCACGCGACAGAUUUGGAACCCAAACUGAGACUGAGCCAAGUUAGCAGACCAAGCUGAGCUGCAAACUGAACUGCGAUCUGAGGACUGCGAAUGGGGAAACGACGCGACUUUAAAAGCCGACAAGCUGCUGCCGACAAGCGAUUUGCGUUUUACGACCACAACACUAAGUAAACGAACCCCUGGCUUCCACUUUUCGCUGAGCCAGCAAUCGUUGAACAAGCGAAUUUUUCAGAACUUUUAAACAACAAAAAUUCCCAAAAUAAAGACUCAAAGUAAUCCGAAACAAGGACAAGGCACGAGCGAAAAUGAGCUGGAAUGAACUUACUUUAAAAUAUAAGUUUCACUAACAAGAUCACUACUUUAGUACUUUAAACAAAUGCUACAAUAAACAUUUUAAUAUGUUCCUCUUUUG